UGCAGCCCUUGUCUCCAAAUUCAAUUACAGCAUGUGUGCUUUCUACCAGGCCUUGACAUGUGUUGCUGCUGUAUGCACCUCCCUUUUUACUGAAUCAGCACCCCCACUUUUCUUUAAUCUCAAAUGUGCCCUCAAAUAUUAAUUUCCCAAGGCCUUGCUAAAUGCUCUCCAAGCCCAAAUAAAAAUGAAAUGCAAGUGGGUGGUGG
This 206-nucleotide long non-coding RNA is filed under the name Vigna radiata. Its description in RNAcentral is "long non-coding RNA (VRAD_LNC008436)". Lineage: Eukaryota; Viridiplantae; Streptophyta; Magnoliopsida; Fabales; Fabaceae. The record is from RNAcentral.